CGCCCCCAGGCUGGAAUUGAACCAGAUCCUUGGCGUACUGGUCAAAUGUGCUAUCAAUUACACUUCUCGGGGC
Molecule: non-coding RNA, 73 nt
Organism: Teladorsagia circumcincta
Lineage: Eukaryota; Metazoa; Nematoda; Chromadorea; Rhabditida; Trichostrongylidae
Source: the annotation of a GenBank genome assembly